GCCUCCAUAGUUCAAUGGAUAGAACAGACCCGUCCUAAGGGUUAGAUCCUGGUUCGAUUCCGGGUGGGGGCA
RNAcentral lists this transfer RNA (72 nucleotides) under Minisyncoccota bacterium. RNAcentral describes it as "tRNA-Arg". It matches the Rfam family "tRNA". From Rfam's summary of the family: Transfer RNA (tRNA) molecules are approximately 80 nucleotides in length. Their secondary structure includes four short double-helical elements and three loops (D, anti-codon, and T loops). Lineage: Bacteria; Bacillati; Minisyncoccota. The record is from RNAcentral.